Molecule: ribosomal RNA, 300 nt
Filed under: Triticum aestivum (bread wheat)
Lineage: Eukaryota; Viridiplantae; Streptophyta; Magnoliopsida; Poales; Poaceae
Description: partial small subunit ribosomal RNA
Source: RNAcentral
AUGUCGUCGUCCCACCCACCGCCUCCAUAUCGCCUCCUCCGACGCGACGGCCACCAAGCGGAAUUGACAGCCUCCAGCCAUCCAAGACUAGAAGUGAUUGUGCGUGCCCUGAUGCGCACAGCCACCAAGCGGAAUUUCCGGGAGCACGUACCAAGCGAAGACUCGAAAGUCAUCGUGCUAACUCUCCGAAGUUUCCGGGAAAUUUGGCCACACCAGGCUGUGUGGCCAUCCGGCGUAUGGGCAUGGAGACGACGAGCAGACGGGGCAGUGUAUAUAUUUGUCACGUAUCGACCUACAUAA